GACUCGUUAGCACAGUAGGUAGUGUGUCAGUUUCAUAAUCUAAAGGUUGUGAGUUUGAUUCUCACAAGGGGUA
This 73-nucleotide transfer RNA is filed under the name Xenopus laevis (African clawed frog). It matches the Rfam family "tRNA". Rfam says of the family: Transfer RNA (tRNA) molecules are approximately 80 nucleotides in length. Their secondary structure includes four short double-helical elements and three loops (D, anti-codon, and T loops). Further hydrogen bonds mediate the characteristic L-shaped molecular structure. tRNAs have two regions of fundamental functional importance: the anti-codon, which is responsible for specific mRNA codon recognition, and the 3' end, to which the tRNAs corresponding amino acid is attached (by aminoacyl-tRNA synthetases). tRNAs cope with the degeneracy of the genetic code in two manners: having more than one tRNA (with a specific anti-codon) for a particular amino acid; and 'wobble' base-pairing, i.e. permitting non-standard base-pairing at the 3rd anti-codon position. Lineage: Eukaryota; Metazoa; Chordata; Amphibia; Anura; Pipidae. The record is from Rfam by way of RNAcentral.